UACGAAGGGGGCUAGCGUUGUUCGGAAUUACUGGGCGUAAAGCGCACGUAGGCGGAUAUUUAAGUCAGGGGUGAAAUCCCAGAGCUCAACUCUGGAACUGCCUUUGAUACUGGGUAUCUCGAGUAUGGAAGAGGUGAGUGGAAUUCCGAGUGUAGAGGUGAAAUUCGUAGAUAUUCGGAAGAACACCAGUGGCGAAGGCGACUCACUGGACAUGUAUUGACGCUGAGGUGCGAAAGCGUGGGGAGCAAACAGG
This 253-nucleotide ribosomal RNA is filed under the name uncultured bacterium. RNAcentral describes it as "partial 16S ribosomal RNA". It matches the Rfam family "Bacterial small subunit ribosomal RNA", at positions 524 to 776 of the family's 1533-position model. The record is from RNAcentral.